AUGCUUCGCUUCAGCAGCAUAUAUACUAAAAUUGGAAUGAUACAGAUAAGAUUAGCAUGGCCCCUGUGCAAGAAUAAUACGCAAUUACCCCUCUGGAAAAACCCGUGCUG
Suncus etruscus (white-toothed pygmy shrew) is the source of this 110-nucleotide small nuclear RNA. NCBI's taxonomy places the organism in Eukaryota, Metazoa, Chordata, Mammalia, Eulipotyphla, Soricidae. The record is from RefSeq and is a predicted model, not a curated record.